Molecule: ribosomal RNA, 490 nt
Filed under: uncultured bacterium
Lineage: Bacteria
Description: bacterial SSU rRNA
Rfam family: Bacterial small subunit ribosomal RNA
Source: RNAcentral
CUACGUGCCAGCAGCCGCGGUAAUACGUAGGGCGCGAGCGUUGUCCGGAAUUAUUGGGCGUAAAGAGCUUGUAGGCGGUUUGUCGCGUCUGCUGUGAAAGGCCGGGGCUUAACCCCGUGUAUUGCAGUGGGUACGGGCAGACUAGAGUGCAGUAGGGGAGACUGGAAUUCCUGGUGUAGCGGUGGAAUGCGCAGAUAUCAGGAGGAACACCGAUGGCGAAGGCAGGUCUCUGGGCUGUAACUGACGCUGAGAAGCGAAAGCAUGGGGAGCGAACAGGAUUAGAUACCCUGGUAGUCCAUGCCGUAAACGUUGGGCACUAGGUGUGGGGGACAUUCCACGUUUUCCGCGCCGUAGCUAACGCAUUAAGUGCCCCGCCUGGGGAGUACGGCCGCAAGGCUAAAACUCAAAGAAAUUGACGGGGGCCCGCACAAGCGGCGGAGCAUGCGGAUUAAUUCGAUGCAACGCGAAGAACCUUACCAAGGCUUGGCAU